RNAcentral lists this ribosomal RNA (391 nucleotides) under uncultured bacterium. RNAcentral's name for it is "bacterial SSU rRNA". It matches the Rfam family "Bacterial small subunit ribosomal RNA", at positions 28 to 418 of the family's 1533-position model. The record is from RNAcentral.
GACGAACGCUGGCGGCGUGCUUAACACAUGCAAGUCGAGCGGUAAGGCCCUUUCGGGGGUACACAAGCGGCGAACGGGUGAGUAACACGUGGGCGACCUACCCUCAGCUUCGGGAUAAGCCUGGGAAACUGGGUCUAAUACCGGAUAUGACCUUCCCUCGCAUGGGGGUUGGUGGAAAGUUUUUUCGGCGUGGGAGUGGGCCCGCCGGCCUAUCAGCUUGUUGGUGGGGUGAUGGCCUACCAAGGCGACGACGGGUAGCCGGCCUGAGAGGGCGACCGGCCACACUGGGGACUGAGAUACGGCCCAGACUCCUACGGGAGGCAGCAGUGGGGAAUAUUGCGCAAUGGGCGGAANCCUGACGCAGCGACGCCGCGUGGGGGAUGACGGCCUU